GCCAGGCAUAGUAAUGCAUGCCUGUAAUGCCAGCGACUUGGAGGCUGAGGCAGGAGGAUUGCAAGUUCCAGGCCAGCCUCAGCAAUUUCAUCAGGCCCUAAGCAAUUUAGAAAGACCCUGUCUUGA
Molecule: small RNA, 126 nt
Filed under: Marmota monax (woodchuck)
Lineage: Eukaryota; Metazoa; Chordata; Mammalia; Rodentia; Sciuridae
Source: RNAcentral